GAUUAAGUUAAAAUGAUGCCGUUAGAGU
Molecule: non-coding RNA, 28 nt
Filed under: Homo sapiens (human)
Lineage: Eukaryota; Metazoa; Chordata; Mammalia; Primates; Hominidae
Source: RNAcentral